GUAGGUGGCAAGCGUUGUCCGGAAUUAUUGGGCGUAAAGCGCGCGCAGGCGGUCCUUUAAGUCUGAUGUGAAAGCCCACGGCUCAACCGUGGAGGGUCGUUGGAAACUGGGGGACUUGAGUACAGAAGAGGAAAGCGGAAUUCCACGUGUAGCGGUGAAAUGCGUAGAGAUGUGGAGGAACACCAGUGGCGAAGGCGGCUUUCUGGUCUGUAACUGACGCUGAGGCGCGAAAGCGUGGGGAGCAAACAGGGAUUAGAUACCCUGGUAGUCCACGCCGUAAACGAUGAGUGCUAAGUGUUAGGGGGUUUCCCGCCCCUUAGUGCUGCAGCUAACGCAUUAAGCACUCCGCCUGGGGAUACGGCCGCAAGGCUG
RNAcentral lists this ribosomal RNA (372 nucleotides) under uncultured organism. RNAcentral's name for it is "partial 16S ribosomal RNA". It matches the Rfam family "Bacterial small subunit ribosomal RNA", at positions 527 to 896 of the family's 1533-position model. The record is from RNAcentral.